RNAcentral lists this ribosomal RNA (2827 nucleotides) under Xanthomonas arboricola pv. pruni. Its description in RNAcentral is "partial 23S ribosomal RNA". It matches the Rfam family "Bacterial large subunit ribosomal RNA". Lineage: Bacteria; Pseudomonadati; Pseudomonadota; Gammaproteobacteria; Lysobacterales; Lysobacteraceae. The record is from RNAcentral.
GACGUGGUAGCCUGCGAAAAGUGUCGGGGAGCUGGCAACAAGCUUUGAUCCGGCAAUAUCCGAAUGGGGAAACCCACUGCUUCGGCAGUAUCCUGCAGUGAAUUCAUAGCUGCUGGAAGCGAACCCGGUGAACUGAAAUAUCUAAGUAACCGGAGGAAAAGAAAUCAACCGAGAUUCCCUAAGUAGUGACGAGCGAACGGGGAGCAGCCCUUAAGCUGGAAUGGCUUUAGAAAAACAAUCUGGAAAGAUUGGCCAUAGAAGGUGAUAGCCCUGUAUUUAAAAGGGCCACUCCAGUGAAGACGAGUAGGGCGGGGCACGUGAAACCCUGUCUGAAUAUGGGGGGACCAUCCUCCAAGGCUAAAUACUCCUGACCGACCGAUAGUGAACCAGUACCGUGAGGGAAAGGCGAAAAGAACCCCGGAGAGGGGAGUGAAAUAGAUCCUGAAACCGUGUGCGUACAAGCAGUAGGAGCUCGCAAGAGUGACUGCGUACCUUUUGUAUAAUGGGUCAGCGACUUACUGUUCGUGGCAAGCUUAACCGUAUAGGGGAGGCGAAGGGAAACCGAGUCUGAUAAGGGCGCAUAGUCGCGGGCAGUAGACCCGAAACCGGGUGAUCUAGUCAUGGCCAGGGUGAAGGUGCCGUAACAGGUACUGGAGGCCCGAACCCACGUCUGUUGCAAAAGACGGGGAUGAGCUGUGAUUAGGAGUGAAAAGCUAAUCGAACCCGGAGAUAGCUGGUUCUCCUCGAAAGCUAUUUAGGUAGCGCCUCGGACGAAUACUACUGGGGGUAGAGCACUGUUAUGGCUAGGGGGUCAUCGCGACUUACCAAACCAUUGCAAACUCCGAAUACCAGUACGUACUAUCCGGGAGACACACGGCGGGUGCUAACGUCCGUCGUGAAAAGGGAAACAACCCAGACCCACAGCUAAGGUCCCAAAUUCACUGCUAAGUGGAAAACGAUGUGGAAAGGCAUAGACAGCCAGGAGGUUGGCUUAGAAGCAGCCACCCUUUAAAGAAAGCGUAAUAGCUCACUGGUCGAGUCGGUCUGCGCGGAAGAUUUAACGGGGCUAAGCAGUGAACCGAAGCUUGGGGUGCAUAAAACUUGUUUUAUGCGCGGUAGAGGAGCGUUCCGUAAGCCUGCGAAGGUGGAUUGAGAAGUCUGCUGGAGGUAUCGGAAGUGCGAAUGCUGACAUGAGUAACGAUAAUGCGGGUGAAAAGCCCGCACGCCGAAAGCCCAAGGUUUCCUUGCGCAACGUUAAUCGACGCAGGGUUAGUCGGUCCCUAAGGCGAGGGCGAAAGCCGUAGUCGAUGGGAAGCAGGUUAAUAUUCCUGCACCUCGCGUGAGUGCGAUGGAGGGACGGAGAAGGUUAGGUGUACCGGGCGUUGGUUGUCCCGGGGAAAGGCGGUAGGUUUGGAUCUUUGGCAAAUCCGGGAUCCUUUAAGACCGAGCACCGAGACGAGCCUUUAUGGCGAAGUCACUGAUACCACGCUUCCAGGAAAAGCUCCUAAGCUUCAGCUCACGAAGACCGUACCGUAAACCGACACAGGUGGGUAGGAUGAGAAUUCUCAGGCGCUUGAGAGAACUCGGGUGAAGGAACUAGGCAACAUGGCACCGUAACUUCGGGAGAAGGUGCACCCUUUUUGGUGGCUCAUGCGAGCUAUAGCUGAAGAGGGUCGCAGAAACCAGGCCGCUGCGACUGUUUAUCAAAAACACAGCACUCUGCAAACACGAAAGUGGACGUAUAGGGUGUGACGCCUGCCCGGUGCUGGAAGGUUAAUUGAUGGGGUCAGCCGCAAGGCGAAGCUCUUGAUCGAAGCCCCAGUAAACGGCGGCCGUAACUAUAACGGUCCUAAGGUAGCGAAAUUCCUUGUCGGGUAAGUUCCGACCUGCACGAAUGGCGUAACGACAGCGGCGCUGUCUCCACCCGAGACUCAGUGAAAUUGAAAUCGCUGUGAAGAUGCAGCGUUCCCGUGGCAAGACGGAAAGACCCCGUGAACCUUUACUAUAGCUUUACACUGAACGUUGAGUUCGUCUGUGUAGGAUAGGUGGGAGGCUAUGAAACUGUGGCGCUAGCUGCAGUGGAGCCAUCCUUGAAAUACCACCCUGUCGUGCUUGACGUUCUAACCUAGAUCCGUUAUCCGGAUCAGGGACCGUGUAUGGUGGGUAGUUUGACUGGGGCGGUCUCCUCCUAAAGAGUAACGGAGGAGCACGAAGGUACGCUCAGCGCGGUCGGACAUCGCGCACUGUGUGCAAAGGCAUAAGCGUGCUUGACUGCAAGAUCGACGGAUCAAGCAGGUACGAAAGUAGGUCUUAGUGAUCCGGUGGUUCUGUAUGGAAGGGCCAUCGCUCAACGGAUAAAAGGUACUCCGGGGAUAACAGGCUGAUACCGCCCAAGAGUUCAUAUCGACGGCGGUGUUUGGCACCUCGAUGUCGGCUCAUCACAUCCUGGGGCUGUAGUCGGUCCCAAGGGUAUGGCUGUUCGCCAUUUAAAGUGGUACGCGAGCUGGGUUCAGAACGUCGUGAGACAGUUCGGUCCCUAUCUGCCAUGGGCGUUGGAAGUUUGAGAGGGGCUGCUCCUAGUACGAGAGGACCGGAGUGGACGAACCUCUGGUGUUCCGGUUGUCACGCCAGUGGCAUUGCCGGGUAGCUAUGUUCGGAAGCGAUAACCGCUGAAAGCAUCUAAGCGGGAAGCGCGCCUCAAGAUGAGACUUCCCGGGGCACAAGCCCCCUAAAGGAACCAUAUAGACUAUGUGGUUGAUAGGUCAGGUGUGUAAGUACAGCAAUGUAUUGAGCUAACUGAUACUAAUGAUCCGUGCGGCUUGACCAU